GGCCGGGCCCCCGGUGGCGGUGGCGGCCCCGGUCCCGGUCGCGGCCGCGCAGCCCCGGCCCGCCCCGGCCGGUGCCCGCCCCCCCUCCCCCCCCCCCGCCCGGAUCCGCUCCCGGGCGCUCCCGGCCGGCGGCCUUAAAGGCGCAGCGGCGGCGGCGGGAACGGCCCGGUACGGCCCGGAGCGGCGGGGGCGGACUCGCACCCCGGGGGCUGCGCACACGCGCACGGACACACGCACCGACAUGGCGGGGACACGCGCGGCGGGGCCCCCCGUGUCCGCACAACACCCCCGAGCGUGUCACUUGCACACGCACCCCAGUGCCUUCCCCUUGCACACCCGCCCCGCGCACAUCCCGGUACCCCCGUUGCACAGGCACACACUGCACGCCCUGGCACACGCGUGUUGCACCCACACGUGUGUGUUCACACGCACACGAAGCCCCCUGCACACCCGUGGCGUGCACCCACCACCUUGCGCACACCCCUGCACGCUCACGCACAUCCCCUUGCACACGCACACACAAACCUUUGCACACGCGUUUUCCGUGCCACACAUAGAUAUUGCACAUACACAGCCUCCUCGCAGAUUUACACGCCCUUGCACACACACACGCACCCUUGCACACUCAGGCAGACCUGUUAUACACUGACACAUAAACCCGUCUAUAUUUGUGUGCAAACACACGAAUCCCCGUGUCCACACACCUGUGCACGCCUUAGGCACGGCAGACGUGCACACAGGUGCGGGUGCACACAUGCAGCUUGCACACACAGCCCUUGCACACGCAGCCUGGCACACACACAGACGUUCACAGGGGCACGCACCCACCUUGCCCACACUCCACACACUUCAUACACGCUGCCUUGCACACACACACGUACACUCACCCCUUGCACGCUCACCUUUACACAUACACAGCCCUUACACACACACCACCCCCAUCUUCAUACACACAGUCCUUGCACACCCCUCGUUAUACACCCGUCACACACUCACAGCCCCCUUUGCGCGCACCCUCACCCUGACACACCCCUUACACACUCACAGCCCCCCUUGUUUGCACACACGCACACCCCCCUUGAGGAUGCCUCCACAUUUCCGCGUGCCCUCGUGCCCAGCUCGGCGCAGGGCACCCCCUCACUACGCUCCCCGCACCCCCACGAGUGACCGUGGCACCGGCCCUGCC
RNAcentral lists this long non-coding RNA (1186 nucleotides) under Lonchura striata (white-rumped munia). RNAcentral's name for it is "domestica (Bengalese finch) lncRNA (ENSLSDG00000001156.1)". The record is from RNAcentral. Lineage: Eukaryota; Metazoa; Chordata; Aves; Passeriformes; Estrildidae.